CAAGCGGUGGAGCAUGUGGUUUAAUCGAAGCAACGCGAAGAACCUUACCAGGUCUUGACAUCCCGAUGCUAUUUCUAGAGAUAGAAAGUUACUUCGGUACAUCGGUGACAGGUGGUGCAUGGUUGUCGUCAGCUCGUGUCGUGAGAUGUUGGGUUAAGUCCCGCAACGAGCGCAACCCCUAUUGUUAGUUGCCAUCAUUCAGUUGGGCACUCUAGCGAGACUGCCGGUAAUAAACCGGAGGAAGGUGGGAUGACGUCAAAUCAUCAUGCCCCUUAUGACCUGGGCUACACACGUGCUACAAUGGUUGGUACAACGAGUUGCGAGUCGGUGACGGCGAGCUAAUCUCUUAAAGCCAAUCUCAGUUCGGAUUGUAGGCUGCAACUCGCCUACAUGAAGUCGGAAUCGCUAGUAAUCGCGGAUCAGCACGCCGCGGUGAAUACGUUCCCGGGCCUU
RNAcentral lists this ribosomal RNA (453 nucleotides) under uncultured Streptococcus sp. RNAcentral's name for it is "bacterial SSU rRNA". It matches the Rfam family "Bacterial small subunit ribosomal RNA", at positions 926 to 1382 of the family's 1533-position model. The record is from RNAcentral. Lineage: Bacteria; Bacillati; Bacillota; Bacilli; Lactobacillales; Streptococcaceae.